RNAcentral lists this ribosomal RNA (301 nucleotides) under uncultured bacterium. RNAcentral describes it as "partial 16S ribosomal RNA". It matches the Rfam family "Bacterial small subunit ribosomal RNA", at positions 509 to 809 of the family's 1533-position model. The record is from RNAcentral.
CAGCAGCCGCGGGAAUACGUAGGGUGCAAGCGUUAAUCGGAAUUACUGGGCGUAAAGCGUGCGCAGGCGGUUUGUUAAGACAGAUGUGAAAUCCCCGGGCUCAACCUGGGAACUGCAUUUGUGACUGGCAAGCUAGAGUGUGGCAGAGGGGGGUGGAAUUCCGCGUGUAGCAGUGAAAUGCGUAGAUAUGCGGAGGAACACCGAUGGCGAAGGCAGCCCCCUGGGCCAACACUGACGCUGAGGCACGAAAGCGUGGGGAGCAAACAGGAUUAGAUACCCCAGUAGUCCCUGUCUCUUAUAA